UACGUAGGGGGCAAGCGUUGUCCGGAGUUACUGGGCGUAAAGCGCCCGCAGGCGGUUUGUCAAGUGUGAGGUGACAGCGCGCGGCUUAACUACGCGAGCGCCUCGCAGACUGAGAGACUGGAGGGCCAGAGAGGGACAUGGAACUCCGGGUGGAGUGGUGAAAUGCGUAGAGAUCCGGAAGAACACCAAAGGCGCAGGCAGUGUCCUGGCUGGUACCUGACGCUCAGGGGCGAAAGCGAGGGGAG
Molecule: ribosomal RNA, 245 nt
Filed under: uncultured bacterium
Lineage: Bacteria
Description: partial 16S ribosomal RNA
Rfam family: Bacterial small subunit ribosomal RNA
Source: RNAcentral